CCUACGGGAGGCAGCAGUGAGGAAUAUUGGUCAAUGGACGAGAGUCUGAACCAGCCACGUAGCGUGAAGGAUGACUGCCCUAUGGGUUGUAAACUUCUUUUAUAAAGGAAUAAAACGAGGCACGUGUGCCUUUUUGCAUGUACUUUAUGAAUAAGGAUCGGCUAACUCCGUGCCAGCAGCCGCGGUAAUACGGAGGAUUCGAGCGUUAGCCGGAUUUAUUGGGUUUAAAGGGAGCGUAGAGGGGUUGUUAAGUCAGUUGUGAAAGUUUGCGGCUUAACCGUAAAAUUGCAAUUGAUACUGGCAGUCGUGAGUCCCGUUGAGGUAGGCGAAAUUCCUUGUGUAGCGGU
Molecule: ribosomal RNA, 347 nt
Filed under: uncultured bacterium
Lineage: Bacteria
Description: partial 16S ribosomal RNA
Rfam family: Bacterial small subunit ribosomal RNA
Source: RNAcentral